Molecule: transfer RNA, 76 nt
Filed under: Pseudomonas aeruginosa
Lineage: Bacteria; Pseudomonadati; Pseudomonadota; Gammaproteobacteria; Pseudomonadales; Pseudomonadaceae
Also listed under: 2 other names
Description: tRNA-Ala
Rfam family: tRNA
About the family: Transfer RNA (tRNA) molecules are approximately 80 nucleotides in length. Their secondary structure includes four short double-helical elements and three loops (D, anti-codon, and T loops).
Source: RNAcentral
GGGCCAUAGCUCAGCUGGGAGAGCGCCUGCUUUGCACGCAGGAGGUCAGGAGUUCGAUCCUCCUUGGCUCCACCAU